RNAcentral lists this small RNA (127 nucleotides) under Marmota monax (woodchuck). Lineage: Eukaryota; Metazoa; Chordata; Mammalia; Rodentia; Sciuridae. The record is from RNAcentral.
GCUGGGCCCAGUGGCACAUGCCUGUAAUCCCAGUGACUCAGGAGGCUGAGACAGGAGUAUUAUGAGUUCAAAGCCAGCCUCAGCAAUUUAGCAAGGCUUUAAGCAAACCGGUGAGACCCUGUCUCUA